AUGACUCCUGAUGCCAGGAAGAUCGACGUCGCCAAGGUGCAACGCCUCCCCGACGGAGAUGUCAUUCCAGCAUCAGGUAGAAGGGCUCGGUACCGCGCGGCUGCGCCAAAGAGGCGCCCGCGGCCCUGUGAAGUGGCAUGCCCUGCGCGCUCCGAAGACAGCCGUGGAAGAUCCCCACCACCCUCCCCACGCACCACGUCCCGCGACAUCAUCGAGCUGAGACCCUCUUCGGCAAUUCCGGACUGGCUGUAUCGUGUUGCCCCGUGCCUGGGCUUGCAGGUGUGUCCUGAGGCUCCUCCAGGUUGGGCUGGGCACUCUUCCAGGCAACAAAGCUCCAGCCCUACACCUCCAAGUCCACGCACGCCUCUGCAUCUUCCUGCUUCGGUGACAGAACCUGACACUGACCUGGUUGUGGCGAGCGCAACGUCUGCUCCUGGCCAUGAUGCUCCGCAGGCCCUGGGUGACCCGGUGGGCACUCCUCUCUUCAUGCAUCGGCCUCCUGCGAUCCUACCAACGCCCAGCUCAACCCCACCAACGCCUCCAGUUGCAAGGAGGAAGACUCUCGCGGGAGUCACUGGUCUGCACCUGAUUCGCAGCAGCCCACGGCUUCAGGCGAAGAACAGAGACAUGCCCAUCGCUCUGCUGGCAGAAAGACUGCUUUGCCAACGUAUGGGUGUGGUGGAAGAAGGCGAGAUGGUCACUGAAGCAGCCAUCUCCAAAUUUGUGGCUCUCUUCCGUGGCCAACUGCCGGACAUUGCUGUUGCUGCUCUACGCGCCCUCUUCAGACUCGACUGUGACCUCGCCUCUGCCGUUGAAGACGCGCUGAUAGACCACGGUGGAGAUGCUGGCCCGGAGAUUCAAGGCCUGGGCGGGGAAGAUGCCACAACAUCUGCCUGA
RNAcentral lists this ribosomal RNA (897 nucleotides) under Triticum aestivum (bread wheat). Its description in RNAcentral is "partial small subunit ribosomal RNA". The record is from RNAcentral. Lineage: Eukaryota; Viridiplantae; Streptophyta; Magnoliopsida; Poales; Poaceae.